RNAcentral lists this unclassified non-coding RNA (300 nucleotides) under uncultured Ascomycota. RNAcentral describes it as "sequence contains 5.8S rRNA gene, ITS2". The stretch from base 1 to 71 matches the Rfam family "5.8S ribosomal RNA", at positions 84 to 154 of the family's 154-position model. Lineage: Eukaryota; Fungi; Ascomycota. The record is from RNAcentral.
GUGAAUCAUCGAAUCUUUGAACGCACAUUGCGCCCCUUGGUAUUCCGAGGGGCAUGCCUGUUCGAGCGUCAUUACACCCCUCAAGCUUCGGCUUGGUAUUGGGCUUCGUCCUGUUUCCUUUUUUGGGCGAGACGUGCCUGAAACUCAUAGGCAGUGAAUUUCAAUUUCCUAGCGUAGUCAAUUCUUUUACUCGCUCGAAAUUAUUGUCAUUCACCCGCCGAAUGAACAACUUUUUUUAACCAAAGUUUGACCUCGGAUCAGGUAGGGAUACCCGCUGAACUUAAGCAUAUCAAUAAGCGG